UUAUGCAGUUACAAGGACAGCAUAACGGAGAGAAUGCUCCACUGGUGCCAUUUCCUUAUGUGCUGUCAGCGAAUCACUUCAUCUGCGCUGUGCCGAGUUUCCCAUCCAUUAAAUGGGGGUGAUUUCCCCUCUGCUUCCUAAGGGGGAGUGGGAGCAGCACCUCCGAUGGCUGCGGGCACAGGAAGGUGCCACGGCGACGCGCAGUGACACAAAGAGCCGCAAAGAGCGAAAGAUCCCCAGAUAGGUUCAUCUCUACCGCUCAGGAUUUAAAAAGAUCUCCCAGGUCCGGACGUCCUGUGGGAAAGGAGAGGAAAACGCUGAGCGGGACGCACCGAUGGAUCCGGAGCUCUUCCUUCGCCCGUCCGCCGCCCCCUUCCCGACCCCCCCAUGGGCUGUGGGGGGGGAAAGGGGGGGGCACGGCCUCCUGGGGCGUGUAGGCAGAGCGGGGUGACCUUGCGGUGCGGUACGGGGGGGGGAACGGCCGCCGCUUCCGCCGCUCCGGAGCGCCGGGAAGGGAAGCGCCGGGUAUUGCGGGGAUCUGAGCGCUCCGGGGCCGGGAUGGGAGCAUCCCCUGCGCAUCCCAUGGACCACCCCGGCCUUAAUACCCCCCCCCGGUGCAGGUGGGGGCACGGACAGAGCCCAACCAGGCUGUUGCAGCUGCCGGAGGCACCAGGAGCUGGGAACUAAGAGAUAAUAACAAUAUUAAUAAGUAUUAUUGUUAUGGAAGUAGUGAUAUUUGGGGGAUAAUUGUCCGAGUGGAGCAUAAUAAUAAUAAUAAUAAUAAUGGAGCAUAACAAUAACAAACUGGUCGUAAUGAUAAUGUAAUGAAUAAUUCCUAAUAUAUUUUACUAAUUUGAAUGCUUAUUAUGAUCAUCACUACUUCCCUGUGGAUGAGUGGCCUCGCUGCCCCACGGGGUGCACGCACACAAGGCUGCCCGGAUGAGAAGCAGUUCCUUUACAGCUUUGUGUUUUCUCAGCCUUCCUUCCCAAGGACGGUUGUUCCAUAAAGCCUUACAGCUCCCGCGCGAUGCAUUGCUGCGUUCUUUAUUGUUUUCCUCGCCCUCAGAACAUCCGACGCCGUUUGUGUUUGUAGAGCCUUUUAAUAGCGAGGUGGCAGAGACAAACCUGGCUCGGUAAACUUGCCUUCCCCCCUAGGGCAGCUGUAGCCCAGAGAAACAGAGCGAGAGCCGCAGCUCAGCCUGGGAGCAGCGCUGUUUACAAUCCAUCAUUGUUAGUUAAUUGCUGUUUGGUUAAAUAUUUACUUUGGA
Centrocercus urophasianus (Greater sage-grouse) is the source of this 1268-nucleotide long non-coding RNA. RefSeq lists it as uncharacterized. NCBI's taxonomy places the organism in Eukaryota, Metazoa, Chordata, Aves, Galliformes, Phasianidae. The record is from RefSeq and is a predicted model, not a curated record. The transcript has 2 exons.